This 1407-nucleotide long non-coding RNA is filed under the name Lynx pardinus (Iberian lynx). The record is from RNAcentral. Lineage: Eukaryota; Metazoa; Chordata; Mammalia; Carnivora; Felidae.
CGGCCCCACCUGCCUGCUGCCCAGCUCCCGCGGGCACAACGUGCGAGGCCCCGUAGCCUUGUCUCCAGGCGAGCGGGGAUGUGAGAUGAUGAAGGAAACCGUUUAACCCUAUUGCCCUUCCUGGGUGUUAUUCAUGCUACAUGAGUCAAUUCUCGUGAUGCUGGGUGUCCAGAGGUAAGUUCAACCACUGGUACCUCCAUGUGUCAGAAGCUAGGCCCACAGGAAGCCAGCUCUCAGGGCCAGACAUCACAGUGAGAGGGACGGUCAAGAAGCCUGCCAGUCCUCUGGAACACCAGUCCUUAGAGCGAGUAACGGUUUGGAAGGCCUCCUUUUCCGGGUGACUUUCUGAGUUACUAAGAACUUCUGAGAUCACUGCCUUCACUGUGCAUCUCUCCUGGGGUAACCGUUUUUGUUUUUUUUAAUAGUCCACUUUAUUCUGCCAUAUGUCUUGUGUGCAGAUUUUGGGGGACAAUAGUAUCUCCAGCUAUUUCGUGUGCUUUACUUGAUCACCCCUGUUGUCUUCCUUCUUAGUCUCUGUGUAGAUCAUAAUCCAGAAUAAAGACGCGAAAGGAAACGUACGUGAGGAUUUCUUCCCCCUCUAGUUUUACCAACACUCACUGGGAGGGGAAGAUCUUUUAAAAAUGUACUUUGCCUCUGUCACCAGCUUCCGUGAUGCCCUCGGUCUGCAGUGUGGAACAUAUGGCCGCCUUGGUCUAGGUCGGUGCCCUGUCAGACUCUGAUCUGUGAAGCUGCCCGUUUCCGGCGUGAAAUGAGGCAGAAAGGAGAAGAUGAGUACCCGGUGGGACAAAGAAGCUGGGCCUCUACAACAUAAUAAUGCCGCCACGAGGCCCAAAUUCUCUGAUCCUUCGUCUGCAAUCAUCUCUCCGUGGAAUUUGGAGACGUGUUCUAAACAUGAAUUUCCUGAAAUCAGAAAUCAUAGAUAAGUCAUUUUGUAGUAACCUACUUUGUGAAUCAGAGGUGAGGUACUCAGUAAUUCCUCGCUGAAUUGCAUGAAUUUGGGAGAUUUUCCAUCGAUUCUGUUGAAGGAAUACGGAUACGGAUGACACAGUUGAUUACAGUGGAGCCUCCUUUCUGAGACUCUCAGACACAUGACGUUUCUCAGAUGCUUUUUUUUUUUCCCCUUAAAGCUUGGGUAGGAACUUCCAUAAGCUGGUCUUCUUAUUCGUUAGUUCUUCAGGUACACCUAUGGAUUCUUCGGAAGGGCUUUACAUUUUUUUCUUAAUUAAAAAUUUUUAGGGACACCUGGGUGGCUCAGUCGGUUAAGUGCCUGACUCUUCAUUUCGGCUCAGGUCAUGAUCUCGCGGUUCUUGAAUUGAAGCCCCUUGGGCUCUGCGCUGGCAGCCAGAGCCUGCUUGGGAUGCUCUCUCUCUGCCUCUCCCUCGUCUG